RNAcentral lists this non-coding RNA (45 nucleotides) under Trichobilharzia regenti. The record is from RNAcentral. Lineage: Eukaryota; Metazoa; Platyhelminthes; Trematoda; Strigeidida; Schistosomatidae.
GUCCAGAUGACGAAUCCCAAACAGGAUGAAAUGCGCAUUCUAGAC